UGAGGAAUAUUGGUCAAUGGGCGCAAGCCUGAACCAGCCAUCCCGCGUGCAGGAAGACGGCCCUAUGGGUUGUAAACUGCUUUUCCAGGGGGAGAAUUUUUCUGUCGUGACAGGAAUUGACGGUACCCUGGGAAUAAGCAUCGGCUAACUCCGUGCCAGCAGCCGCGGUAAUACGGAGGAUGCGAGCGUUAUCCGGAUUUAUUGGGUUUAAAGGGUGCGUAGGCGGAUAGAUAAGUCAGUGGUGAAAACCUGCAGCUUAACUGUAGACUUGCCGUUGAUACUGUCAGUCUUGAGUAUGGUCAGGGUAGGCGGAAUGUGUAAUGUAGCGGUGAAAUGCUUAGAUAUUACACAGAACACCGAUUGCGAAGGCAGCUUACUGGGCCAUUACUGACGCUGAUGCACGAAAGCGUGGGGAUCGAACAG
Molecule: ribosomal RNA, 423 nt
Filed under: uncultured bacterium
Lineage: Bacteria
Description: bacterial SSU rRNA
Rfam family: Bacterial small subunit ribosomal RNA
Source: RNAcentral